AUUGAACGCUGGCGGCAGGCCUAACACAUGCAAGUCGAGCGGUAGCACAGAGAGCUUGCUCUCGGGUGACGAGCGGCGGACGGGUGAGUAAUGUCUGGGAAACUGCCUGAUGGAGGGGGAUAACUACUGGAAACGGUAGCUAAUACCUCAUAACGUCGCAAGACCAAAGUGGGGGACCUUCGGGCCUCAGGCCAUCAGAUGUGCCCAGGUGGGAUUAGCUGGUAGGUGGGGUAACGGCUCACCUAGGCGACGAUCCCUAGCUGGUCUGAGAGGAUGACCAGCCACACUGGAACUGAGACACGGUCCAGACUCCUACGGGAGGCAGCAGUGGGGAAUAUUGCACAAUGGGCGCAAGCCUGAUGCAGCCAUGCCGCGUGUGUGAAGAAGGCCUUCGGGUUGUAAAGCACUUUCAGCGGGGAGGAAGGCAUUAAGGUUAAUAACCUUAGUGAUUGACGUUACCCGCAGAAGAAGCACCGGCUAACUCCGUGCCAGCAGCCGCGGUAA
Molecule: ribosomal RNA, 504 nt
Filed under: uncultured bacterium
Lineage: Bacteria
Description: partial 16S ribosomal RNA
Rfam family: Bacterial small subunit ribosomal RNA
Source: RNAcentral